UGAUGACUCCAACACAUCUCCGAAUCUGAUAAACACAUUUUGGCUUGAUUUGAAAGUCAUGCUGAAAGUACUAACUCAGCCUUCCCCUCACCAAGAAAAAUAAGAUUUUAACUUGUUAAAGGUUAAAGUACUUAAACGUUGUUUCUUUCAUUCACAAAAAGACAGACCUUUUUCUUCGCAUUGCUCAUAUAAUGCACCAUACAAUUUUUUUGCCUUCAUUAUCUUUAACAUAAUAGUGUAUUUAAAGGUGUUAUAGAGGCUUAUAAUUAAACAUAGAUUUCACAGACUUGGAAUUUGAAAGCUAUUUAAAAGUUUUAGUUCAAGAUGAAGCUAUUAGAAGUUUGAACAAAAAAGACAUUCAAAUAUCUUAAAUGUGUUCUAUAACUAAAACAUACUUGCAUCGCAUAUGCUUUUUUAAACAAAAUUAUUCAUUUUAUUAUUUUUUUCAAUGGAGAAGUGAAAGGGUUCAUAGAUUUAGGAGACUAUAGAGUUUUUAAUUAUUUACUCCCCAUUUUCCGCCCAACAUUUAUAAAUUUUUAUUUCAAGACACAAUAUAAAAAUGCUAAAUGCCAGUGGAAAUAUCAAAACUAUUAUUUUUGGUGAUACUGUAAUACAAAAUCUAAGUAAGUAUCUAACUGCUAUGUCUACUUUGAUGGAGGACAAAAUGGAAUGAGUAACACAUUGAGGAAAUAUAAGUUGCCUUGGCCAUAAAAGAUAAAGGAGAAAAGAGAGAUGGUGGAGGUUUCAUGCUUUUUUGCUUUUUGAGAAGGUUUCAUUGAUAGUAAUUUCAAUAAAGGGCGGAGGAGAUUGAUUUCCUUUUAGCAGAUAAACAAGCUGUGUCCUUUUACGUGUAGAAUUCCCUUAUUCUUAUGCACGCAUAUAGAAAAACAUAGACAUAUGUAUGCUAACUUACAAUAGGCUCAUACAUUUUUUUAUGUUUUGCCUUUUGUUUUCAACAAAGUAACAUGGUGGAGAAUGAUGGGGAAACUAUCUUGCUAUUCAAGUUUUGAAUGAUCUGAACAGUGGGUUGCUCAAGCUCUGUUUGAAAGAUUAACAAACUUGAAAUGAAGAUUGGACUUGUCUCAAUUAUAUCGGGAAUGAUAGAACAAGCUAUAUAAUCUGAAACUACUAAUGACUAUUAUUUUGACUAAAUGUGCAAGUCAUUCCUGUAACACAAUUUUUAUUGAACUUUUCAACAUUCCUUUUUAAAGCAAUUUUAUGGGUCUGUUAUCAAAUCAGACUAUAUUGUACUGAGACUUGGUUUUGUCAUGACACAUUGCAGGGGAAAUCCAAAGUUCAAUUUUCACAACUAUAUGAUCCGUGCUUUGGAAGAUGAUUUUAAGAAAGUCGUUGGUAUAAGGCAAGUUAUAGCUAGGAUUUCCUGUGCAAAUUGUACAGCUUCUUAUUUAUUCUUCUGUGUUUGCUGGGUGUAUUGCCAAAAAUAAAAUUCGAAAAGAGAGAGGAUAACAUUUGCGGCUGCUGGUUUGUCACUACCUAGUGCUAGGAGGGGUAAUCUAGGGAUAUUGUCUCAAAAACAAAAAACAAAAAAUCUUUUUAUUUUUAAUCUGCAUCUUGUUUAAUAUCUAAUUUGGCUUGUUGCAGUUGGUAUUUAUGGAUAUUUGUGGUCGACUUCUUGUUGCUGAACAUUAAUGGUUUAACAAGAGGUUAUUGUGAUCCACUCAAUGCUUAGGUUCUUUACUUGGAAGGAAGUAGAGUGUUUUUAUUCUGUUUUAUUAACAUGUUUAUUGUGCUUGUAACACUUUGAAGAAAGUAUUUAUCCUACAUGUUUUCUUUCUGCCAUAGCUGGUGGGUUUCACAUAGAAUACGCUGUAGUGGCUAAUGGGUAUUCCAUUGAAAGCGUUUUGUUUAAAUACAAGUCAAUUCUAAGUGUUUACUACUGAAUGGGUUUUGUAAAUCUCAUUCCAAGAUCGAUCCUUGUGCAAAAUUUGUCUUUUGCUCUCAUUGCAAUUUCAUUUGAGAUGCAUACAGAUGAAUGAGCGUUCUGUUUUUUUUUUUUUUUAAAUUUACUAUUCAGCUUCUACUUGCUGUGGGAACUAAGUUGGAGCAUGUAAUCACCUAGUUAGGUCACGAGGUUGCAGAGAAACACAUUGCAAUUGAAGGGGAAUUAGUAGUGCAACUUUCAGAUAAUCAUUUUUGGUUCCAUCGGCCCCCCAUUGUCCUUUUCCAAUACAUUUCAUACUGUUCCAAAAUGCUUUUGAGAUAGCAUUUUUCUUCUGGAUAUGGUUGCAAUAUGGCUUUGACUCCGACAUAAUGGGACAUGUCCGUUUUAUUAUCCCCAGGCUCGUUAUAGGGGUAUUUGUUCAAGUACUCUGCAGUUAUAGCACCCUACUACUCUAUGGCAUUGUGACACAGAGCAAGAAACAUCCUAAUGAGUUUGCAGAGGAACUUGUGAAGGAUGCUGAUCAGAAAGUAAUUUCUAGACAGACAAUCAUUUUGUUCAUGUAAUGAUAAAACUAUUUUGUAUUCUAACCAAGGACGUUCAAUGGUCGUUACAGUUAAAUUAGUUUAUAAAUUGACAUCUUUAUAUUUAUGUUUAGACACGUACUCUAUAUUUAUGUGUGUAGAUGGAUAUAUGAAUUCAUUGACAGAUGAAAUUGUACCUCUUAUCCUCAGGCAACAAUAAAUGUUGGGGGGCACUUGCUAAAUGCAAUCACCAUCAAACAUUUCACCUUGGGACUGCCUUACCACUCAAAAUAUGAUAGCAAGGGUAAGGAGGUUGAUCUCAGCACAUAAAAAGGGAAGGUUCUUGUUGUCAACGUU
Non-coding RNA from Camellia sinensis, 2781 nucleotides. The record is from RefSeq and is a predicted model, not a curated record. NCBI's taxonomy places the organism in Eukaryota, Viridiplantae, Streptophyta, Magnoliopsida, Ericales, Theaceae.